UUCAACGGCCGCGGUAUACUGACCGUGCAAAGGUAGCGUAAUCAUUUGUCUUUUAAUUGAAGACUAGUAUGAAUGGCAUCACGAGAACUAAUCUGUCUCCCUCCCUCAAUCAGUGAAACUGAUCUCCCCGUGCAGAAGCGGGGAUAAUAUCAUAAGACGAGAAGACCCUGUGGAGCUUCAAAUCAAUAAUCAACUGCUUCACUCACCCCAACAUAGGGAUACACUCACGCAAACUUGAUUUAGAUUUUCAGCUGGGGCGUCUAUGGAGAAAAAAAAAUCCUCCAUGAAAAUUCAUGCUUAAAGCUACCGCCAUAGGCAUUAAUAUACUUAACUUUAAUUGACCCAAUUUUUGAUCAACGGACCAAGUUACCCCAGGGAUAACAGCGCAAUCCACUUAAAGAGUCCUUAUCGACAAGUGGGCUUACGACCUCGAUGUUGGAUCAGGGCAUCCAAGUGGUGCAGCCGCUACUAAAGGUUCGUUCGUUCAACGAUUAAAG
Molecule: ribosomal RNA, 497 nt
Filed under: Leptobrachella ventripunctata (speckle-bellied metacarpal-tubercled toad)
Lineage: Eukaryota; Metazoa; Chordata; Amphibia; Anura; Megophryidae
Description: partial 16S ribosomal RNA
Rfam family: Bacterial large subunit ribosomal RNA
Source: RNAcentral